Molecule: ribosomal RNA, 496 nt
Filed under: uncultured bacterium
Lineage: Bacteria
Description: partial 16S ribosomal RNA
Rfam family: Bacterial small subunit ribosomal RNA
Source: RNAcentral
AUGAACGCUGGCGGCGUGCCUAAUCCAUGCAAGUCGAGCGAACAGACGAGGAGCUUGCUCCUUUGACGUUAGCGGCGGACGGGUGAGUAACACGUAGGUAACCUACCUAUAAGACUGGGAUAACUUCGGGAAACCGGAGCUAAUACCGGAUAAUAUUUCGAACCGCAUGGUUCGAUAGUGAAAGAUGGCUUUGCUAUCACUUAUAGAUGGACCUGCGCCGUAUUAGCUAGUUGGUAAGGUAACGGCUUACCAAGGCAACGAUACGUAGCCGACCUGAGAGGGUGAUCGGCCACACUGGAACUGAGACACGGUCCAGACUCCUACGGGAGGCAGCAGUAGGGAAUCUUCCGCAAUGGGCGAAAGCCUGACGGAGCAACGCCGCGUGAGUGAUGAAGGUCUUCGGAUCGUAAAACUCUGUUAUUAGGGAAGAACAAACGUGUAAGUAACUGUGCACGUCUUGACGGUACCUAAUCAGAAAGCCACGGCUAACUACGUG